Molecule: unclassified non-coding RNA, 380 nt
Filed under: uncultured Gammaproteobacteria bacterium
Lineage: Bacteria; Pseudomonadati; Pseudomonadota; Gammaproteobacteria
Description: contains 16S-23S intergenic spacer region
Source: RNAcentral
UCCCCGUUAUCCGAGGCAGUUUCCCAAGAGUGCUGUCCUUUACGGACGUGGCAACAUGGGAUAAGGGUUGCGCUCGUUGCGGGACUUAACCCAACAUCUCACGACACGAGCUGACGACAGCCAUGCAGCACCUGUGUUCGAGUUCCCGAAGGCACCAAUCCAUCUCUGGAAAGUUCUCGACAUGUCAAGGCCAGGUAAGGUUCUUCGCGUUGCAUCGAAUUAAACCACAUACUCCACCGCUUGUGCGGGCCCCCGUCAAUUCCUUUGAGUUUCAGUCUUGCGACCGUACUCCACAGGCGGAGUGCUUAACGCGUUAGCUUCGCUGCAGAAGGGGUCGAUACCCCCUACAGCUAGCACCCAUCGUUUACGGCGUGGACUAC